RNAcentral lists this ribosomal RNA (1200 nucleotides) under uncultured dinoflagellate. RNAcentral describes it as "SSU rRNA". It matches the Rfam family "Eukaryotic small subunit ribosomal RNA", at positions 577 to 1805 of the family's 1831-position model. Lineage: Eukaryota; Dinophyceae. The record is from RNAcentral.
CGGUAAUUCCAGCUCCAAUAGCGUAUAUUAAAGUUGCUGCGGUUAAAAAGCUCGUAGUUGGAUUUCUGUUGAGGACAACCGGUCCGCCCUCUGGGUGAGCAUCUGUCUUUGCCUUGGCAUCACCUUGGGAACCGCUUCUGCACUUGAUUGUGUGGUGUGACACCCGAGGAUUUUACUUUGAGGAAAUCAGAGUGCUUCCAGCAGGCAUUUGCCUUGAAUACACUAGCAUGGAAUAAUAUGACAAGACUUUGGUUUUAGCUUGUUGGUUUUUAGAAUCGAAGUAAUGAUUGAUAGGGAUAGUUGGGGGCAUUUGUAUUUAACUUCAGAGGUGAAAUUCUUGGAUUUGUUAAGGACACACGGUUGCGAAAGCAUUUGCCAUGGAUGUUUUCUUUGAUCAAGAACGAAAGUUAGGGGAUCGAAGACGAUCAGAUACCGUCCUAGUCUUAACCAUAAACUAUGCCAACUAGGGAUUGGAUGUUGUCAUGCACAUGAUUCAUCCAGCAUCUUGUGAGAAAUCAAAGUCUUUGGGUUCCGGGGGGAGUAUGGUCGCAAGGCUGAAACUUAAAGGAAUUGACGGAAGGGCACCACCAGGAGUGGAGCCUGCGGCUUAAUUUGACUCAACACGGGGAAACUCACCAGGUCCAGACAUAGCAAGGAUUGACAGACUAAUAUCUCUUUCUUGAUUCUAUGGGUGGUGGUGCAUGGCCGUUCUUAGUUGGUGGGGCGAUUUGUCUUGUUAAUUCCGUUAACGAACGAGACCUUAACUUACUAAAUAGUAACAUGUAACUGUGGUUAUAUGGGCAACUUCUUAGAAGGACUUUGCGUGUCUAAUGCAAGGACGUUUGAGGCAAUAACAGGUCUGUGAUGCCCUUAGAUGUUCUGGGCUGCACGCGCGCUACACUGAUGUGUUCAAUGGGUUGACCUUGCCUGGGAUGGCUGGGUAAUCUUUUGAAACCACAUCGUGAUGGGGGUUGAUCAUUGCAACUAUUAAUCUUGAACGAGGAAUUCCUAGUAAACUCGAGUCAUCAGCUCGUGUUGAUUACGUCCCUGCCCUUUGUACACACCGCCCGUCGCUCCUACCGAUUGAAUGAUCCGGUGAAUAAUUUGGAUUGCAGUGGCAAACAGUGUGCUGUGUGCUGCUUUGAAAAAUCUUAUGAACCUUAUCACUUAGAGGAAGGAGAAGUCGUAACAAGGUAGCCG